This 464-nucleotide ribosomal RNA is filed under the name uncultured bacterium. Its description in RNAcentral is "partial 16S ribosomal RNA". It matches the Rfam family "Bacterial small subunit ribosomal RNA", at positions 28 to 507 of the family's 1533-position model. The record is from RNAcentral.
GACGAACGCUGGCGGCGUGCUUAACACAUGCAAGUCGAACGAUGAAGCCAGCUUGCUGGUGGAUUAGUGGCGAACGGGUGAGUAGCACGUGGGUGAUCUGCCCCAAACUUUGGGAUAAGCCUGGGAAACUGGGUCUAAUACCGAAUAUGACCGAUACUCGCAUGGGUGUUGGUGGAAAGCUCCGGCGGUUUGGGAUGGGCCCGCGGCCUAUCAGCUUGUUGGUGGGGUAAUGGCCUACCAAGGCGACGACGGGUAGCCGGCCUGAGAGGGCGACCGGCCACACUGGGACUGAGACACGGCCCAGACUCCUAUGGGAGGCAGCAGUGGGGAAUAUUGCACAAUGGGCGCAAGCCUGAUGCAGCGACGCCGCGUGAGGGAUGACGGCCUUCGGGUUGUAAACCUCUUUCACCAGGGACGAAGCGAAAGUGACGGUACCUGGAGAAGAAGCACCGGCCAACUACGUG